GCCGGGGUUGCGCCCAGUCGGGGAGGGGCAUGGCGAGACCUGCCCCCCAGCUUUGUCUUAGUUACUCUGAGGCAAGGGGCUGCGCUGGGCCGGAGCAACUAUACAGUGCCUGGCCCCGCCGACCCUCAAAGUGUCCCGGCUACAUUGCAACCGCGGCGCGGGGAGAACACAGGAAAGGAGUGGUCACUGGGCCGACAAAGGGUAACUGCCAUUAUUAAGCACCCAGGCUGGCCAGGCGCCGUCACCACCCCUUCUGUCCCGCGGUGGCAGCCCAGGCACACAGGGCACAGGCAUGUGUCCUAGGAUUGUGGAAGAGGCAGCGCUGGGAUACGAACCUGGGACAUGGGGCUCUUGGCCCCCUGCGCCAGGCUGAGGAAGACGUGUGCUUGAACCAGGCUUUGAAAAUUGGGGAGGGUUUGAUGGGUGCAGGUAACGGAGCAAGCUCUGCCCUCAUGGCCGUGAGACCUCGGGAAGACGUUUGAUCUUGGUGGGCGCACUUUCCUCCUCCGUAAAAGUGGCCGCACUUAGGAAAACGAGUAACUAAUAUGUCCACCUCCUAGCAAAUUAUUGGAAGGAACAUGAGAAACCUUCUCUCUUAAAACAGAGUUAGAAGAUGAGCUGAUACCGGAUUUCUCUGCCUACGUGGUGGGCAGCAUUCCGCUGGAGCCGCUAGCUCUGUUUCCUCUAGAAGGCGUCGUCCUCUUCAGUUUGCUGGUCCUCACUGUUUACAGGAUUCAAGCGUCUGUACUCACAUCUGGCCGCUGAGAGCAGGCCUACAGGACACCCCAAGUUUCCCUGUGUCCUCUCCUGCCACCCUGAAACCUGUUCUUCACACAACAGCCUGACUCAUCUCUUAAAAUGAAAAUGGAGUAGAUGCAGCUUUCCCUAUUUCUCUUGCUAAAUACAGUUAAAAACCCUGGACACCGUAUACACAGGGACUGUAUAUGGAACAAACUUAAGAAGACUAUGAAAAGUGGAGAGAAGAGCAGAUCACAUAGGGACAUUCAGACCCAAGAAAUAAUAUGGUGGUCAGUUCCCGAGUUUUCUUUUUGCUUCACAUUUCGCAGACUGGAUCUGGAGAAGCCAGAAACCUGGAACUUGGAGACAUCAACAGGCACAGACAAAAAAAAAGAUCCUUAAACCAAAGGCCCAGGAACAGAGCAGCCUAGCAAGACAGGAAUGAAGAGGAAAUGAAGACGUUCUCAGAUGAAGGAAGACUAAGGGAAUUUGUCACCAGCAGACCUACCCCAAAAUAAUGGCUAAAGAAAGUUGUCUAAACAGAAAGGCAAUGAUAGAGAAAAUGGAGUCCUAG
This 1312-nucleotide long non-coding RNA is filed under the name Equus asinus (donkey). RNAcentral describes it as "lncRNA (ENSEASG00005032486.1, ENSEASG00020034167.1)". Lineage: Eukaryota; Metazoa; Chordata; Mammalia; Perissodactyla; Equidae. The record is from RNAcentral.